RNAcentral lists this transfer RNA (66 nucleotides) under Agriotes ustulatus. RNAcentral describes it as "tRNA-Asn". The record is from RNAcentral. Lineage: Eukaryota; Metazoa; Arthropoda; Insecta; Coleoptera; Elateridae.
UUAGUUGAAACCAAAAAGAGGUAUAUCACUGUUAAUGAUACCAAUAAGAUAAAUUCUUCAAUUAAA